Molecule: ribosomal RNA, 254 nt
Filed under: uncultured Acinetobacter sp.
Lineage: Bacteria; Pseudomonadati; Pseudomonadota; Gammaproteobacteria; Moraxellales; Moraxellaceae
Description: partial 16S ribosomal RNA
Rfam family: Bacterial small subunit ribosomal RNA
Source: RNAcentral
UACAGAGGGUGCGAGCGUUAAUCGGAUUUACUGGGCGUAAAGCGUGCGUAGGUGGUCUUUUAAGUCGGAUGUAAAAUCCCUGAGCUUAACUUAGGAAUUGCAUUCGAUACUGGGAAGCUAGAGUAUGGGAAGAGGAUGGUAGAAUUCCAGGUGUAGCGGUGAAAUGCGUAGAGAUCUGGAGGAAUACCGAUGGCGAAGGCAGCCAUCUGGCCUAAUACUGACGCUGAGGUACGAAAGCAUGGGGAGCAAACAGG